GAUGAACGCUGACAGAAUGCUUAACACAUGCAAGUCAACUUGAAUGUGGGUUUUUUAACUUAGAUUUGGGUGGCGGACGGGUGAGUAACGCGUAAAGAACUUGCCUCACAGCUAGGGACAACAUUUGGAAACGAAUGCUAAUACCUGAUAUUAUGAUUCUAAGGCAUCUUAGAAUUAUGAAAGCUAUAUGCGCUGUGAGAGAGCUUUGCGUCCCAUUAGCUAGUUGGAGAGGUAACGGCUCACCAAGGCGAUGAUGGGUAGCCGGCCUGAGAGGGUGCACGGCCACAAGGGGACUGAGACACGGCCCUUACUCCUACGGGAGGCAGCAGUGGGGAAUAUUGGACAAUGGACCAAGAGUCUGAUCCAGCAAUUCUGUGUGCACGAUGACGUUUUUCGGAAUGUAAAGUGCUUUCAGUUGGGAAGAAAAAAAUGACGGUACCAACAGAAGAAGUGACGGCUAAAUACGUG
RNAcentral lists this ribosomal RNA (468 nucleotides) under uncultured bacterium. RNAcentral's name for it is "partial 16S ribosomal RNA". It matches the Rfam family "Bacterial small subunit ribosomal RNA", at positions 28 to 507 of the family's 1533-position model. The record is from RNAcentral.